UGAUGAAAAUAGUAGAUACAAAAAUUACAAAAAUAAAUAUAAUAAUCAGAGAGAGACAGAGAGGAACUUACAAGAAGCUGCGACAACGACGUGCUAUGGCGACGGGCUCACAGCGACUGCAACCGACAAAGACGUUGCAAUGACAUGUCUAUGGAAGAAGAAGAACUUACAUGCAGAUUCACAAAUCACAAUAAGAAGGAGCAACUCUGCUCUCAGGCGGAGGACGGCGGGUUUUCUCAGGAGUUGGAGAAGA
Non-coding RNA from Arachis ipaensis, 253 nucleotides. NCBI's taxonomy places the organism in Eukaryota, Viridiplantae, Streptophyta, Magnoliopsida, Fabales, Fabaceae. The record is from RefSeq and is a predicted model, not a curated record.